UCUCCGUGUGCCGCUCCCAAUCAACCCACGUUUGCCCCAGCCUCCUAUCGCACGGAAAUGGAGUCCUGCUGGGGUCUCCUUAACUGGGGGUUCCAGCGCUUCCGCGCACAACGUGCGCUUACGGACCGUCCGUGGACGUUACUGUGAACAAAACAGCGUGUUCAAAGCAAGUGGCUUGCCUGCCCUGCAUGUUAAAGCAUGGAAUAACAAGGCAUCGACCACUCGGCGGUGCUUUUGUUGGUCUUUCCCUCCCGGUGGGAAUGCGCAGGCGUGCACACUGCCGGCCUUCUGGCCGGUCUGGGUGCCGUCUCUUCGAGAUCAAUAGGGGCAAACGGGGAGAUACCUAUUGUGGGGAGAGCGGUGAAAUGCGAUGACCCCCAUAAGAGGAACUUCAGCGAAAGCAGUUCUCAAGACUGCCUUCGUUAAUCAAGAACGAGACUGUGGGGAUCAAAGAUGAUCAGAUACCGUCGUAGUCCACUAGCGUAAACGAUGCCGACUCAUCAUUGG
This 507-nucleotide ribosomal RNA is filed under the name uncultured marine eukaryote. RNAcentral's name for it is "bacterial SSU rRNA". It matches the Rfam family "Eukaryotic small subunit ribosomal RNA", at positions 720 to 1056 of the family's 1831-position model. The record is from RNAcentral.